This 429-nucleotide ribosomal RNA is filed under the name Actinomycetes bacterium. RNAcentral's name for it is "Actinobacteria bacterium partial 16S ribosomal RNA". It matches the Rfam family "Bacterial small subunit ribosomal RNA", at positions 355 to 776 of the family's 1533-position model. The record is from RNAcentral. Lineage: Bacteria; Bacillati; Actinomycetota; Actinomycetes.
UAGGGAAUCUUCCGCAAUGGGCGAAAGCCUGACGGAGCAACGCCGCGUGAGUGAAGAAGGUCUUCGGAUCGUAAAACUCUGUUAUUAGGGAAGAACAAAUGUGUAAGUAACUAUGCACGUCUUGACGGUACCUAAUCAGAAAGCCACGGCUAACUACGUGCCAGCAGCCGCGGUAAUACGUAGGUGGCAAGCGUUAUCCGGAAUUAUUGGGCGUAAAGCGCGCGUAGGCGGUUUUUUAAGUCUGAUGUGAAAGCCCACGGCUCAACCGUGGAGGGUCCUUGGAAGCUGGAAAACUUGAGUGCAGAAGAGGAAAGUGGAAUUCCAUGUGUAGCGGUGAAAUGCGCAGAGAUAUGGAGGAACACCAGUGGCGAAGGCGACUUUCUGGUCUGUAACUGACGCUGAUGUGCGAAAGCGUGGGGAUCAAACAGG